CUGUAAUCAAUCAGCUACAGCAGGGAAUACCUAUUUCCAUAUGUAAGUGUUAAUAAAUAAAGGCUGGAUGUGCAAAAAAAAAAAAAAAAGGGUUAGGCACAAGGGGCUGGGGUUGGGGCUCAGCGGUAGAGAGCUCACCUAGCACUGUGAGGCCCUGGGUUCGAUCCUCAGCACCACAUAAAAAUAAAUAAAUAAAAAUAUUGUGUCCAACUACAACUAAAAAAAUAUUUAAAAAAGAGGCACAGUGGUAUAUGCCUAUAAUCAUGGCUAUUUAGGAAUCUUAGAAGGAAGGAUUUCAAGUUCAAGUUCAGUCUGGAUAACUUUUUUUUUUUUUAAUUGGUUGUUCAAAACAUUACAAAGCUCUUGACAUAUCAUCUUUCAUACAUUUGAUUCAAGUGGGUUAUGAACUCCCAUUUUUACCCCAAAUACAGAUUGCAGAAUCACAUUGGUUACACAGUCUGGAUAACUUUUUGAGACCCUGUCAAAAAAUUAAAAAUAAGAAGGGCUGGGCACAAUGGUGCAUGCCUUUUUAUCCCAGUGACUCGAGAGGCUGAGGCAGGAGGAUCACAAGUUGAGGUCAACCUCAGAUAUUUAGCAAGGGCUUAAACAACUUAGUAUUUAAAAUACAAUAUAAAACAAAUAUAAUAAUAUAAAAAGGGCUGGGGAUGUGGCUCAGUGGCUGAGCACCCCUGGGGUCAAUCCCUGCUACCCAAAACAAAACAACAAAAAAAGGAACUGGGGAUGUAACUCAGUGGUAGUAUCUCUGGGUUCAAUCCCUAGUGCAAAAAAAAAAAAAAAAUUGUGUAAGAGCUGGGCACAGUUGUGCACAUCUGUAAACUCAGCUACUUGGGAAGCAGACCACAAGUUCAAGACAAGCCUAGGAAAUUCAGUGAGAGCUUGUCUCAAAACAGAAAAAUUUUAGAAAGGGAGCUCUGUGGUAGAGUGCCCUGGGUUCAAUCCCCUGUACUGGGGGUAGGGGGAGACUGUAAGAAAUGAAUAGGAGGGUGUGGGGAGCCAUUCUCACACGUGAUUGGGCAACUCCUGGAUUGGGUGUGAGGCGCUCUGGCUAAACUGUGUCGGAGCUUUCCCGAUCCUCUCCUGGUGCGAGAGCCUGUCCGUGUGGGGGUGUGACUGACCACUGACCCUGGGGCCAAUCACUGACCCUGACCUUGGAGUGCUGCCCCCCUCAACCGUCAUUGGAUGGAAUUCUCCCCUGAAUUUCUUGUUCCCCAAUAAAAGGCCACUCCCUGGCGUGCUCGCGCUCUCUCUCUCCUGCUAGCCCUGAGUAAUCCCUGCUGCCCUACGGGUGAUUCGAGGUUGGAGCCAGAGGGAGAGCUGUCUUGGACCUGGUCAUAGAAAAAGGUAAUUGAGUCUGUGUGUUUAUUUUGAUCUCACUAGCUAACUUUUAUGCCAAGAACCUCUUUAAUGAAACCAGUGCGCUGGUCGCAUGGUGGAAGGAGGGCAUGGGUUUGAUCCCUAAUAGUGAAAAAAAAUGAGCAAAGGAAGAUGUAUAUACUUGUAUAUAAGUAUUUCAUUAUAUAAUAUAUAUAUAUAUAUACAUAUAUAUAUAUAUAUAUAUAUAUAUACAUAUAUUGAAUAUAUAUGUAUUCAUUAUAUAUAAUGAAUAACCCAGAAACUCAGAUUUUUUUUUUUUGUGUGUGUGUGUGUGUGUAUGCUGGGGACCUGAGACACAAGGACAUAACCUUUCCCAAGAGCUGUUUUUUAUAUUCUUUUUUCUUCUGGUUUCUCUAAACACCUCAUAGCCCUGCUUCCAGGAGACUCUGCUACAGUGGAGGCUACAACAGAUUCCCCGUGACUGCUCUGGGAGACUGCUUCAGUUUUACUGGCUUCGGACCUCCCCUAGGCUCUCCAGGUGGCUUUGUCUCAUAACCUGUCAGGAUGACUUCUCUGCAACUGUUUUAGAUGUCUCCAGUUCUUGAGAAACUCCUCCCACGACUAAGCAGUAAGUCUGCAGUUAGCUGGGGAGACACUGCACUGUACAAGCCCACCCUUUCCGUCUGUACGAGCAGCUCCCGCUCACCGUAUCGGUUCAGCCCAUGUGCUGUUUCUCCAUAUACUGCAACAUAAAGCUUGAUAAAGACUCUUUCUGAUAGUUUUAUUUUGCCUGUUGUGAUGUCUCUUUCGAGCAGAGCAGUCUAAGCUGAUUGCAGUUAGAGCUGGUAACACCAAGUGGCUACCACCAGGUUGUCAGCAGCCAGAUCUGAUAACACCAAAGAUUCAGUCAUUCCUGAGAGUGACUAGCAGCCAGAGAGCUUCGAAGAACUGCAGGAAAAGCUUCUAGAAGGGCUGCUAUCCCGAGGAGGAGGACAACUCAAACAGCAAUGGGGAGAGCUGCUAACACUAAGAGCUGAGAACUGCUGGCCCUCAAAGCACAGAGCUGUUAACACCAAG
This 2412-nucleotide long non-coding RNA is filed under the name Marmota monax (woodchuck). Lineage: Eukaryota; Metazoa; Chordata; Mammalia; Rodentia; Sciuridae. The record is from RNAcentral.